RNAcentral lists this ribosomal RNA (465 nucleotides) under Vreelandella stevensii. RNAcentral's name for it is "partial 16S ribosomal RNA". It matches the Rfam family "Bacterial small subunit ribosomal RNA", at positions 338 to 795 of the family's 1533-position model. Lineage: Bacteria; Pseudomonadati; Pseudomonadota; Gammaproteobacteria; Oceanospirillales; Halomonadaceae. The record is from RNAcentral.
CCUACGGGCGGCAGCAGUGGGGAAUAUUGGACAAUGGGCGAUAGCCUGAUCCAGCCAUGCCGCGUGUGUGAAGAAGGCCUUCGGGUUGUAAAGCACUUUCAGUGGGGAAGAAAGCCUUGGGGCUAAUACCCUCGAGGAAGGACAUCACCCACAGAAGAAGCACCGGCUAACUCCGUGCCAGCAGCCGCGGUAAUACGGAGGGUGCGAGCGUUAAUCGGAAUUACUGGGCGUAAAGCGCGCGUAGGCGGUCUGAUAAGCCGGUUGUGAAAGCCCCGGGCUCAACCUGGGAACGGCAUCCGGAACUGUCAGGCUAGAGUGCAGGAGAGGAAGGUAGAAUUCCCGGUGUAGCGGUGAAAUGCGUAGAGAUCGGGAGGAAUACCAGUGGCGAAGGCGGCCUUCUGGACUGACACUGACGCUGAGGUGCGAAAGCGUGGGUAGCAAACAGGAUUAGAUACCCGGGUAGUC